UACGGGGGGGGCAAGCGUUGUUCGGAAUUACUGGGCGUAAAGGGCCAGUAGGCGGCCAACUAAGUCGGAUGUGAAAUCCCCAGGCUCAACCUGGGAACUGCAUCCGAUACUGGAUGGCUUGAAUUCGGGAGAGGGAUGCAGAAUUCCAGGUGUAGCGGUGAAAUGCGUAGAUAUCUGGAGGAAUACCGGUGGCGAAGGCGGCAUCCUGGACCGACAUUGACGCUGAGGAGCGAAAGCUAGGGGAGCAAACGGG
RNAcentral lists this ribosomal RNA (253 nucleotides) under uncultured bacterium. RNAcentral describes it as "partial 16S ribosomal RNA". It matches the Rfam family "Bacterial small subunit ribosomal RNA", at positions 524 to 776 of the family's 1533-position model. The record is from RNAcentral.